AGGGGUAUAGCUCAGUUGGUAGAGCGGCGGUCUCCAAAACCGUAGGUCGCGGGUUCAAGUCCUGCUGCCCCUG
This 73-nucleotide transfer RNA is filed under the name Wenxinia saemankumensis. It matches the Rfam family "tRNA". From Rfam's summary of the family: Transfer RNA (tRNA) molecules are approximately 80 nucleotides in length. Their secondary structure includes four short double-helical elements and three loops (D, anti-codon, and T loops). Further hydrogen bonds mediate the characteristic L-shaped molecular structure. tRNAs have two regions of fundamental functional importance: the anti-codon, which is responsible for specific mRNA codon recognition, and the 3' end, to which the tRNAs corresponding amino acid is attached (by aminoacyl-tRNA synthetases). tRNAs cope with the degeneracy of the genetic code in two manners: having more than one tRNA (with a specific anti-codon) for a particular amino acid; and 'wobble' base-pairing, i.e. permitting non-standard base-pairing at the 3rd anti-codon position. The record is from Rfam by way of RNAcentral. Lineage: Bacteria; Pseudomonadati; Pseudomonadota; Alphaproteobacteria; Rhodobacterales; Roseobacteraceae.